UUGUCGCGCUCGGCAGUUUUCGAGAUGUGGCGCCAUCGCAUCCUGCAGCAGGCUUCGCGCCGUGGAAUCAGCAAGCAAGUGAGGGAAGAUGGAGGAGCUCGAAGGGAACCAAGUGGAUCCCUGCCAGGCGCAGCAGAUGUUGUGGUUAUUGGCGGUGGUUCGGCGGGCUGUCACACACUGUAUCACCUGGCACGACGUGGUGUCAAGGCCGUGCUCCUGGAACGCGCCCAACUUACGGCCGGAACUACCUGGCACACGGCUGGAUUGCUGUGGCGCCUGCGUCCCAACGAUGUGGAUAUUCAGCUGCUGGCUAAUUCACGUCGCAUGCUACAGCAAUUGGAGGAGGAAACAGAGCUAGAUCCGGGAUGGAUUCAAAAUGGUGGCAUUUUCAUAGCUCACAAUGAAACGCGUCUGGACGAGUAUCGCAGACUGGCCACUGUGGGCUCAGCUUUGGGUAUUGAAAACCAAGUGCUGAGUCCGGAGGACACCCAGAAGUUGUUUCCCCUCCUCGAUCCGUCGGCCUUUGUGGGCGCUCUCUAUUCUCCGGGUGAUGGUGUCAUGGAUCCGGCGAUGCUGUGUGCGGCUCUCAAGAAGGCAGCCACUAAUCUCGGAGCCCAGGUAAUCGAGAAUUGCGGAGUGGAUGAUCUACUGGUGGAGCAGACUGCAAGCGGCAAGAAGGUGGUGGGUGUUUCCACGCCUUUCGGGGACAUCAAAGCUAAGAAGGUAGUGAAUGCUACAGGAGUGUGGGGUCGUGAUCUGGUGGCCAAGCACGGCACCCAUCUUCCCCUGGUGCCCAUGAAGCAUGCAUAUAUUGUUUCUGAAUCCAUUCCGGGCGUGAGAGGCCUACCCAACAUCAGAGAUCACGAUUACUCCACCUACUUCCGCAUCCAAGGGGACGCCAUCUGCAUGGGUGGCUAUGAACCGAAUCCCAUCCUGCUGGAGCCCGUGCCCAAGGACUUCCAUUUCGGACUAUACGAACUGGAUUGGUCUGUGUUCGAGACCCAUGUCGAGGGAGCCCAGAAAUUGUGUCCCAGCUAUACGAAAUAUGGCGUGAAGAGCACGGUUUGUGGCCCGGAAUCCUUUACACCCGACCACAAACCCUUGAUGGGUCCGGAUCCCAACAUCGAUGGGCUCUACCACAAUUGUGGCUUCAAUUCAGCGGGCAUGAUGUUUGGAGGUGGUUGCGGGGAGCAGACCGCCUUGUGGGUCAUCCAAGGUCAACCGGAGCUGCCCAUGUUUGGCUUCGAUCUUCGCAGAUUCACCAAGGAGCAGGGCAAAGCCAUCCAGUGGAUCAGGGAGAAGUCUCACGAGAGCUACGUGAAGAACUACAGCAUGGUCUUCAAGUAUGAUCAACCACUGGCGGGUCGUGAUUUCCAAAAGGACCCACUUCACGACGAGAUGAUGAAGGCAGGCGCCGUAAUGGAGGAGAAGCAGGGUUGGGAGCGGCCUGGUUUCUUCCUGCCCUCCGGUUCCAAGAAGGCGGUGGUUCAGCCCUAUGACUGGUACGGAAGCUAUGGCCACCAGAGGCACAAGGACAGCGAGUACGAGAGAGUUCUGGAUGGGGAUCUUCACUACAGCCGUUUCUCGGAGCACCACGAUCUAAUCGGAUCGGAGGCACUGGCUUGCCGCAAUAACGCCGUGGUCUUUAACAUGAGCUACUUCGCCAAUCUGCUCCUAGAUGGUCCACAGGCCAAGGAGGCCGCUGACUGGCUCUUCUCCGCCAAUACCAACAGGGAUCCCAGCAAAACUGUCUACACCUGUGCUCUGAACGAUGCCGGCGGAGUGGAAGCGGAUGUGACCAUUUUCCGCCUAGCGCCCGGAACCGGAGAGGUCUACAAUCCCAAGAUCAACGGCCAGGGCUUUUAUAUUGUGGCUGGCGGCGCCUCUGCCUUCUACACUUACAGCGCUCUGCUGGCAGAGAUCCGUAGAAAAGGAUUCGAUGCGAGCCUCAGGGAUUUGACUGCCGAAUUGGGUGUGAUUUCAAUUCAAGGUCCAAACAGCCGAAAGAUCCUGCAGUCCCUCAUCGACUGUGAUCUGUCCGAUGAGCACGUGGCUCCCAACAGCACUCGAUUAGCCAAGUUCGGAGAUGUGGGUCUCCGCUUGCUGCGCGUCAGCUUUGUGGGAGAACUGGGCUACGAGCUUCAUGUGCCCAAGAAAGAUUGUGCUGCCGUCUAUCGCAGUCUAAUGAAGGCGGGAGCUGGACAAGAUUUGCGCAAUGCGGGCUAUCGUUCCCUGUAUUCCCUUAGCAGCGAAAAGGGCUAUCAUCUGUGGAGCUUCGAUCUGCGGCCGGAUGACACGCCCCUGGAAGCUGGCUUGGGAUUCACAUGUCGCAAAACGGGUGCAGAUUACCGUGGCAAGGCGGCCAUCGAAAAACAGCGAGCUGAGGGUCUAAAGAAGCGACUGGUCUACUUGACGCUCCGGGAUCAGGUGCCCAUCUGGGGUUUGGAGGGAGUCUACCGAAAUGGCGAACCCGUGGGUAUACUUCGGCGAGCUGAAUAUGCCUAUACCCUUGGAAAGUCCCUCGGUCAGACAUACGUGUCCCGACCAGAUGGCCAGAUCAUCGAUGCUGAUUACAUCAGGAACGGGGAGUACGAGGUGGACAUCUUGGGCAAGAAAUACCGCGCCGACUGCCACUUGCGCAGCCCAUUCGAUCCCACCGGCCAACGGGUUCUCGAACUCGUUUACCCGGCGUAGGGAAUUUCUCUCAACCUUUCUCUUUCUGGCAGGGCACGACGGUAUUGUUGAAGUGCCUGCCUUAACAUAUAUGAAGGGUCAUAAAUUAGAAUCCCCAUGAAUAGGGAAAGGUUCGAAGAAAGGUCACGGUGUAGGCAGACAGGCAGUCUGCAAAGUGGUCGGUCGGUCACCCGAAAUGGUUGCGGUUACGGCUCAAUUAAUUUCUGUGUCCAACUAUUAUGACAUCAUUCUCGGUUUCCGCGAAGGAUAUGCCUUUCCAGACGUAAUUCUAGAGCACUGGGUCUCCUCGGCCAGACAGAGGGUCGCCACUCAAGUGGAUAUCUUUGCUUAAAUGAUAUUUCAUAUAAUUGUGAUAUUGAUGCAAUACUUUCAGCUUAUAAUAAACUAGGUUCUUCAGGCCUCGAUGGUUACGGUGGAGGCCGUGUUGGAGGGACUAUCGAAGUAGCCAGCUACCACCUCCUCCAGCGACAAAUCGAACUUGAAGAUGGGACGGAGAUCGUUGUUGAGUCGACAGACGACUCCGGCGGAGGCGAUGUUCCAGUUCCAGCAGAUCAUGGCGCAGUUCAGCGCCUCCAAAUCGCCCUUCAUCGAGACAAUAUUCUGAUGGGGAUGCAAACAUUAUUAUCAAUCAGAUUGUGUGCUUUUAGCGGCCCACUUACCAUAGCCACUGUGUAGUCAAUGGAGUUGAUCUCCUCGCCCUUGAUAACCACCAACUGGGUCUCGCCAUUCUGGUUGUUCAGGAAGCGCACCACCUUCUCCUUGAGAUACUCAGCCGAUGCAUAGUCCAGCUUUUGCUUCACAUCCACUACGCUCACUUCGUGACCAUUGAUCUUGUAGAUGAUUUAUGAUUUGUUGUUACUUGUGUAAAGUGCACCUAGAUAAGAUAGGAUGAGCUCACCUUCUCCAGUUUGAUGUCUACAUGGGGACGUGCACUGCUAUAUAGAAUGUAUACCAUGUUGGCAGCAAUGCCACACAGUAUUCCGUACUCCAGACUCCAGAACAUGCAGGUGAUUACAGUGACCACAAAGGGAAACAGAUCCUUCUCUGGAAAGUUAAGACAGAGCAUUAGAAGGCAUAGCUAGAAAACUGUUUCACCAUGAACUCACUCUUAGAUUUCCACAUGUCCUUAAUCUUGUGCAGCUCCACUAGCGAUAUCAUCGCCGCUAUAAUAAUUGCAGCCAGCGUGCAUUUGGGUAUAAAGUAGAAAGUUUGGGUGAGGAAUGCCAGUGCCAUGAGCACCAGGGCACCGGUGACAGCUCCUCCCAGUGGUGUCUUCACCCCACUGGCAUUGUUCACAGCCGUGCGGGUAAAGGAUCCCGUUACGGGCAUGGAGAGCACAAAGCUGCCCAUGAUGUUGCACAUACCCAGUGCCACCAUCUCCUGCGAUGCGUCUACAAUUUUCCCCUUAGCUGCAAAUGUAGAAUUCCUUAGUAUAAAUGCUUUAGAACUAAUUAAAGUUAUACCUACAAAAUGCCUUCGAUAUGGCUACUAUUUCCAGGAUUGAGAUCAAGGGAAUGGAACCCAAGGAAGCGCCGACAGUGCUGAUCAUCUCGCCGAAGGAAACGUACUCUCCAUCAACGGUGGUGCUAAAGGGCGGCAGCCGGAAGGGCGGCACUCCGGCCGUAAUGUUUCCAGUGACCCGGAAGGGCUGAUUCCCAUCUCGACUGAGGAUGUAGGCCAAAAAGGUGCCAAAGAUCACAGCCAGGGCGUUUCUGGAGAGGCCAAGGUACUUCCAGAAUAUACGGUUGCCCCAUUUGAUGUCUUUAACAAGCUCAGGAACACCAGAGAUGAGACACCCAGCAGGGCAUCCCAUAGCCUAAUUGAUGUCAAGUGGGUGAAGAAAUUCUUCCAGGCGGGCAGUAAAUCAUUUGAAGGACCUGUUUCAAUGCAUGUCAAUGUUUCAGGAACCAAACACGAUGUAUGUGAAGCAACCCAUGAAGGCGGAGUACAAACCGUACUGCGGCUCUAAGCCGGCUACCACUCCAUAGGCAAUCGCCUGGGGAAUAGUCGUUAAUCCCACCGUGAAUCCCGCAAUGAAGUCCUGCAUGAUGUACUCCAAUCGGUAGCGAGGUAGCCACUUUAGGAUCGGGAACUUGUUGGUCACGGUGGACGGACGACACAGCUUGCGACCGCCAUCCCUGAUUAGCGAGCCCACAUUGGGCAGUUGCUCCCGGUACAGAUUAUCUGUGAAUCCAAAACAUGCCUUGGAUGAGGAGUAUUUAUGUAUGCCAAGAUAACCCCUCCCCGUGCGGACUAAUCUUGCCUGACAGCAAGUUGUCGAUCAGACGUUUAUAUUGACUUUGGGCUGGUCAUCUUAUCGCCCGACAGCCUGGACUACCCCACGCAGAUAAGGUGCAUUCAGAUACUCUUUUAUGAAUUGGCACGAUUACAGCCCCCACUUUCUCACCGGAUCAAUCGCUGGAAGCGUAGCAAAUGAACUGACCCUGAUCAGCGCGAUCGCUGCUUCCGGAAAAACCCUGGAGCAGUUACUCACCCUCAUCGGCUCUCAUCGCGGGUGGCUCUCCAGCUUUAAACCGGGCUGUAGUUCCGAGAACGAUAGGGAAACCGGCUGCGAUGCAAAGGCAAUAUGUCUGUAAUCAAAACCGGUGAGCUAACGCGUCCGCUCAGCGUGCUGCUCCAAACGCGACUGCCGCUCCGAUCGCCGUCGUCCAACGUCUUUAGAGACCGAAAGCAAUCGCGUUUGCACAUUCUGGCCAUAUAAGAUUUACAAGCGCGGGUACCGGUACCGCCAUAUCAUGUUCGCUCUGUUAGUCCGUUAAUAAACAAUUACAAAGACAACCUUAA
Drosophila sechellia is the source of this 5499-nucleotide RNA transcript. It is a transcript of the gene named Sarcosine dehydrogenase, with no coding region annotated. The record is from RefSeq and is a predicted model, not a curated record. NCBI's taxonomy places the organism in Eukaryota, Metazoa, Arthropoda, Insecta, Diptera, Drosophilidae. The transcript has 6 exons.